This 85-nucleotide transfer RNA is filed under the name bacterium. RNAcentral describes it as "tRNA-Leu". It matches the Rfam family "tRNA". Rfam says of the family: Transfer RNA (tRNA) molecules are approximately 80 nucleotides in length. Their secondary structure includes four short double-helical elements and three loops (D, anti-codon, and T loops). Further hydrogen bonds mediate the characteristic L-shaped molecular structure. tRNAs have two regions of fundamental functional importance: the anti-codon, which is responsible for specific mRNA codon recognition, and the 3' end, to which the tRNAs corresponding amino acid is attached (by aminoacyl-tRNA synthetases). tRNAs cope with the degeneracy of the genetic code in two manners: having more than one tRNA (with a specific anti-codon) for a particular amino acid; and 'wobble' base-pairing, i.e. permitting non-standard base-pairing at the 3rd anti-codon position. The record is from RNAcentral.
GCCGAGGUGGCGGAACUGGAAGACGCGCAUGGUUGAGGGCCAUGUGGGGUUUUACCCCUUACGAGUUCGAAUCUCGUCCUCGGUA